This 502-nucleotide ribosomal RNA is filed under the name uncultured bacterium. Its description in RNAcentral is "bacterial SSU rRNA". It matches the Rfam family "Bacterial small subunit ribosomal RNA", at positions 28 to 507 of the family's 1533-position model. The record is from RNAcentral.
GACGAACGCUGGCGGCGUGCCUAAUACAUGCAAGUCGAGCGGAAUGAUGAAGAAGCUUGCUUCUUCUGAUUUUAGCGGCGGACGGGUGAGUAACACGUGGGCAACCUACCUUGUAGAUUGGGAUAACUCCGGGAAAACCGGGGCGUAAUACCGAAUAAUCCAUUUUGCUUCAUGGCGAGAUGUUGAAAGACGGUUUCGGCUGUCACUACAAGAUGGGCCCGCGGCGCAUUAGCUAGUUGGUAGGGUAAUGGCCUACCAAGGCGACGAUGCGUAGCCGACCUGAGAGGGUGAUCGGCCACACUGGGACUGAGACACGGCCCAGACUCCUACGGGAGGCAGCAGUAGGGAAUCUUCCACAAUGGACGAAAGUCUGAUGGAGCAACGCCGCGUGAGUGAAGAAGGUUUUCGGAUCGUAAAACUCUGUUGUAAGGGAAGAACACGUACGAGAGUAACUGCUCGUACCUUGACGGUACCUUAUUAGAAAGCCACGGCUAACUACGUG